AGCCCCGUAGUGUAUUUCAUAUAAGAUUGCAAAUCUUAAGAAACAGAAUAAAUUCUGUCCGGGCUU
Molecule: transfer RNA, 66 nt
Filed under: Ichthyophis glutinosus (Ceylon caecilian)
Lineage: Eukaryota; Metazoa; Chordata; Amphibia; Gymnophiona; Ichthyophiidae
Description: tRNA-Cys
Source: RNAcentral